GCUGUUGGUUGAUCUCUCUUUCUCUCCUCUCAGGCUCAUGGUUGUCGUCGUGAGCCAUCCUCUCCGGUGGAGAACGUGCAAACACACGACCUCCUCUCUUCAUCUAUGGCAGUACUCACCACGUAAAUGAGGGAAACCCUGAUUAGGUUUCCUUUAAAUGCAUGUUCUUCUGGCUUUUAAAUCUCCACCGAGAGAUCUAGGUCAUUCGAUCAAAGUGAGUAUAAAAACGUCUUUUUAUGUCCAAGAUGUGAUCUUAGCCAUUGGAUUUGGACCCCCUAUAUCAUAGCUGCAUGAUCUAGGGUUUCAUUAAUAACAAUUUAGUUAUUUUGCACCCUUGAAAUCACAGCCACUUGAUUAGAUCUAUACACGAUUUGGGUCGUUCGUUCAAAAACACGGUGGGAAGGAUCUUUAGUUAUUGAAUCGUGCCUAGGCAAGAACCUUUCC
RNAcentral lists this long non-coding RNA (444 nucleotides) under Carica papaya (papaya). Its description in RNAcentral is "long non-coding RNA (CPAP_LNC002939)". The record is from RNAcentral. Lineage: Eukaryota; Viridiplantae; Streptophyta; Magnoliopsida; Brassicales; Caricaceae.